UUAAGAGUUUGAAUGGCUGAAGAAAGUUUUAUUUUAGUUUAAAAUGAUUAAGUUAAGGUUCAUAUCUACAUGCAAAUGAUAGUGGGAAUAGAAUUUGUUUUUAGAGAGGAUAAAUUGGGGUUUAUUCGCAGUGAAUCAUAUUAAAUAUUUACGAAAGUAAGAUUUAGGGAAAUCUUAUAGUAUUGACUAAUUUUGUGCCAGCAGUUGCGGUUAUACAGAGAAUACAACUUAAUUAAGGUUAGAUCUAAAUAUAUUAGAAAUAGGGGAAAUUUAAAUUUAAAAUUUUUUGGGUGAAAUUUUUAAUUUUAAUAAGAUUUUAGGAAGUUAGUUAUUUGGGAAACUUUUUAAAAAAACUAGGAUUAGAUACCCUACUAUUUAAAGCUUAAAAAAAAAAUCUAGGUUAGUAACAGUUAUGUCCUAAAAAAUCAAAUAAUUUGGCGGUAUUUUAGUCCAUUCAGAGGAACCUGUCCUAUAAUCGAUAAUCCACGAUUAAUUCAAUUUUCUUUUAAUAGUUUAUAUAUCGUCGUAGUUUGAGUAUUUUUGUAGAAAUCAAUAUUCAAGAUUUAUUUUAUAAAAGAAUUCAGAUCAAGGUAUAGCUUAUAAGAAAGUAGAGGUGGGUUACAUUAAUUUUAAUUGAGGAAGAUUUUAUUUAAAAUUGGUUUGAAUUUGGAUUUGAAAGUAAUUUUUUUUAUUUAAUAAAAAUGAUUUUGGCUCUAAAAUAUGCACAUAUCGCCCGUCGCUUCCCCCCGAAGGUGGAAUAAGUCGUAACAUAGUGGUUUUACUGGAAAGUGAGGCUAGAGUGG
RNAcentral lists this non-coding RNA (803 nucleotides) under Aulaconotus atronotatus. The record is from RNAcentral. Lineage: Eukaryota; Metazoa; Arthropoda; Insecta; Coleoptera; Cerambycidae.